GUCGGCAGCGUCAGAUGUCUAUAUGAGACAGAUUCCGAACACGGAAGUUAAGACCUCCAGGGCCGAUGAUACUUGGGGCAUAGCCCCUGGGAAAGUAGGUUAUUGCCAGGU
This 111-nucleotide ribosomal RNA is filed under the name Desulfosporosinus sp. HMP52. Lineage: Bacteria; Bacillati; Bacillota; Clostridia; Eubacteriales; Desulfitobacteriaceae. The record is from RNAcentral.